This 216-nucleotide unclassified non-coding RNA is filed under the name Hevea brasiliensis (rubber tree). Lineage: Eukaryota; Viridiplantae; Streptophyta; Magnoliopsida; Malpighiales; Euphorbiaceae. The record is from RNAcentral.
GAGUUGUGUUACAUGUGCCUAUUAGUGGAGGUUCUUGUUUUUACCAGCCUACCCAGUUCAAACAAUAUUCUUAUUUUACUGCGAAAUUUAAGUUAGCAUAACCAUGAAGUCCUGAUGAUUUUUUUUUAGCUACUAGGUUUUAAUUUGAAGUGUAGGCAUGAUGUACUAGUCAUGUUCGACAGCUCUUACAUUUGUGUUAGGUUCAACGAUUUUUUU